GGGACUUUAGUAUAAUGGUUAAUACAGAUGACUUUUAACCAUCCAAAUGUAGGUUCGAAACCUACAAGUCCUA
Molecule: transfer RNA, 73 nt
Filed under: Hirsutella vermicola
Lineage: Eukaryota; Fungi; Ascomycota; Sordariomycetes; Hypocreales; Ophiocordycipitaceae
Description: tRNA-Lys
Rfam family: tRNA
About the family: Transfer RNA (tRNA) molecules are approximately 80 nucleotides in length. Their secondary structure includes four short double-helical elements and three loops (D, anti-codon, and T loops). Further hydrogen bonds mediate the characteristic L-shaped molecular structure. tRNAs have two regions of fundamental functional importance: the anti-codon, which is responsible for specific mRNA codon recognition, and the 3' end, to which the tRNAs corresponding amino acid is attached (by aminoacyl-tRNA synthetases). tRNAs cope with the degeneracy of the genetic code in two manners: having more than one tRNA (with a specific anti-codon) for a particular amino acid; and 'wobble' base-pairing, i.e. permitting non-standard base-pairing at the 3rd anti-codon position.
Source: RNAcentral